UUAUGUAAAUAAUAGAAUCAUCAACUUUUACUGACAUGUGAGUGUAUCAUUUAUUAGUCUCUGUGCCCCUGUCAGUCCCUGCAGAUGAUGAGCAGUGUUUUCAGUGUUGGAAUGGGAAUUCUUUUUGCUGCAACGCAGGAUAUGGAUCAGUCUCUUUUCACUCUAUUCAGAGUUUCCCACCUCACCGGAAUACUUUUUCAUCAUCGCUGGAGUUGUGUCCAACCUGUUGUUCAAAUAUCCAGGAUUACUACAUUUGUCCCUCAACAUUAACUGUGGCUGCAUUAUUGUAGCUGCAAUUGCAGCUUAUAUGAUCACUGUUGACCUGGCUGAUUGGAAUUCAGCCAAUCAACAUCAUUUGAAGAUGGAGGUGAUGGAACUUUGUGUGUUGUUACUGGAAGUCGUACUCUCUGCAAUCCUCUGCUUCUGGUUCUCUAAAGAGAAACAUGCCGAAUCACCAUGAUCGGUUAAAAAUGACUUGUUUCAUUUGCACAGCGGUUUGAGAAUUUAUUCUUUAAAUAAAGUGUUUGCAUUUAGAGUGAACAAUGGGCUGUAUAUAAGUUAAGAUACUGUAUUAGCACAAG
Thunnus maccoyii (southern bluefin tuna) is the source of this 581-nucleotide long non-coding RNA. RefSeq lists it as uncharacterized. The transcript is spliced from 4 exons. The record is from RefSeq and is a predicted model, not a curated record. NCBI's taxonomy places the organism in Eukaryota, Metazoa, Chordata, Actinopteri, Scombriformes, Scombridae.